RNAcentral lists this small RNA (96 nucleotides) under Xanthomonas campestris. RNAcentral's name for it is "sRNA sX7". It matches the Rfam family "Xanthomonas sRNA sX7". Lineage: Bacteria; Pseudomonadati; Pseudomonadota; Gammaproteobacteria; Lysobacterales; Lysobacteraceae. The record is from RNAcentral.
AGUUUUCCCUAUCGCGGGGACGGCGGAGUCAGUGCCGUCGCUCCUCGCGGUAGUUCUAUUGAAAGCCAGGAGGGCGGGCGCCACGGACGGCGCAUU